RNAcentral lists this long non-coding RNA (1645 nucleotides) under Piliocolobus tephrosceles (Ugandan red Colobus). Its description in RNAcentral is "lncRNA (ENSPTEG00000001452.1)". The record is from RNAcentral. Lineage: Eukaryota; Metazoa; Chordata; Mammalia; Primates; Cercopithecidae.
CCAAAUUGGGAUUUUUCUUCCAUACUAUUUGGUAAUGUUCUUUUUCACUUAACAUUAUAUGUUGUUAAGAAUUUUCACUCUGGCUUGACUUUAAAGCCAAAUAUAACAAAUUUUGAGUUACUUUUAUGUAUAUUUUAUGCUUUUCCCCCUUCUUAGUACAGGUAUAGAAGAACAUCUAUGCAACAUUAUGACCAAAUCUGUUAUUUGGCCAAACAACUUUGGAAAAAUAUCAAAUUUACGGGAGUACACUUGAGGAGCAAUCGACCCAAAGGAAAAGCACGAUUCAGGCCCCGCCUGCCUCGGCUCCACCUCCCACGGGCCCCACUCCCAGGGCCUCGGCCGCGGGACCACGCCUUCCAGGCCCCGCCUCCCAGGGCCCCGCCCUGCUUUUCCCCUCGCCCCGCCCCGGCCCGUCGCCAUGUUGUUCCCUCCGCGCUGGACGGGAGCAGCUGGACCUGGAACCUGGCUGCGCUACCGCCGCUGCCUCCUGCUGUGCAGGUCCCCGACCCUCUCUCUGCCCUCAUUGCACCCAGACGGGCCGGCCCAGAGCUCCCGACUCGUCUUCCGUGUGGUUGCGAGCCUCCCCUCAUUUCUGACCAUUUAUUGAGCACUCACUCUGGCGCGGUGAAUAUUCUGUGCGUGUAAAUCCUGUACGUACAUCAUUUCAUUUAAUUUUCAUAGCAUUUCUUCAGUAAGAGCUCCAUGUUACAGUUGAGGAAUUUGGGGGGGCAUAGGAAGGUUCAGUCUGUUUUCCAAGAUGACCCAGGUUGUGAUGGGGUCGAGCGGGGAUUCAAAGCAGAUCUGGGUAAUUUUAGAGUAAUAGUUCUCAGCUGGAAGAGAGGACAAUUUUGUCCUCCUAGGAGGUAUCUGGCAAUGUCUGCAGGCAUUUUUGGUUCACUCCUGGGGGCAAGGGAGGUGCUGCUGACAUCUAGUGGGUAGAGGCCAGAGAUGCUGCUUAACAUUCUUUUUUAUUUUUAUUUUUGUUAUUUAAUUUUUAAUUUUUGCUGCUAAACAUUCUAUAACCUACAGGACACCCCCCCCCCCCCCCCCCAACAAAGAGCUGUCUAGCCCAAAAUGUCAGUAGUGCCACGGUUGAGAAACCUUGCUUUUCAGCAGUCCGAGUAACCCCAGAGCUUACAUUUCAACUGCUUUUGUAGUUUUUCAAAUGCAAUGUCAUUUUCCUAUUUGGGAUACCUCAUCAUUUUAACAGUGAGCAGGGGAAAAUUCUCUCUACUGAGAAGCAUAUUCACUUGAAAGAUUAAAGAGUGAGUGGCUGGGCACGAUGGCUCACGCCUGUAAUCCCAGCACUUUGGGAGGCCGAGGUGGGUGGAUCACGAGGUCAGGAGUUUGAGACCAGCCUGGCCAACAUGGUGAAACCCCAUUUCUACUAAAAAUACAAAAAUUAGCCAGGCGUGGUGGCGGAUGCCUGUAAUGCCACCUACUCAGGAGGCUGAAUUCAGGAGAAUCACUUGAACCCGGGAGGCAGAGAUUGCAGUGAGCCAAGGUCACGCCACUGCACUCCAGCCUGGGCGACAGAGUGAGACUCCAUCUCAAAAAAAAAAAAAAAAAAGGGAGCAAAUAAUUUCUGGUAGCAGAAUCUGUUUUUUGUUUUAAGGCAAAAAUGACAAAAAGAACUUUAGAGCUA